UCGCUUGGCGUCCAUUUCGCCUUCCGUUACUCUUCUUAGCCUCAAAGCCUACUCCCUCCCCGCUUCUACACGUCUCUGAGGCCGCCGAUCAGUAGGGUUUCUCCGCCGCAUCUCCCGAUCCGUCGCCGCUGCAUGAUCUACGUCAGGAUAUGACGAGUAUUAUCUCAGGCAACCCUCGAAAUUUACCAAUUCAAGUUUUCAAUAGUUUCACAAAGACCAGAGUCACCAGACUAAGUAUAAUACAAUGUUGGGAUGUUAAGGCACAGAGUUUCUUUCUGCUGGAACUUCAUAUUCCAUAAAUCAACAGCUCAGUAGUAAUCAUCAAAAAGGACAAAUUUCUAGGCUGGUUUUUGUAAGAGAAGUUAAUAAUGGUGAAGCUGAAUCAAACAGCGCAAAAGAUGAUGACAAGGACAAAGAAAGUGAAAAGUAUUUGAUGGGUUAUCCCGUGAGGCUUUGGAGCAAAUAGUCGUAGCAGGCGAUUCAAAUUUUAGUGGAAUGGAUCUAGCAACUCUGAUCAGAAAAAAAGUACUAUAGAUUGUAGAAUAUCCAACUGAAAAAAGAGGUUCCAGAUCCAGAUCAGGAGGUAUGUGAUUCAUGAAUUGCAGUAAGAGCUUUACAAAUGAUCUAGAGAAAAAAAAUUCUAACAAAGAGAGGAAAACCUCUCUUCAGCAGAGCUUUGGCAUUCCACCCCGGCU
Long non-coding RNA from Zingiber officinale, 695 nucleotides. RefSeq lists it as uncharacterized. The transcript has 4 exons. The record is from RefSeq and is a predicted model, not a curated record. NCBI's taxonomy places the organism in Eukaryota, Viridiplantae, Streptophyta, Magnoliopsida, Zingiberales, Zingiberaceae.